AAUGUCAAGGGCAAACUCACCGUGAGAUGAGGGCGCAAAGUCAUGGGUCCUGAUUCAGGAUCGCCAGACCGCCGAAG
This 77-nucleotide non-coding RNA is filed under the name Desulfuromonadaceae bacterium. Its description in RNAcentral is "c-di-GMP sequence". It matches the Rfam family "c-di-GMP-I-GGC riboswitch aptamer". The record is from RNAcentral. Lineage: Bacteria; Pseudomonadati; Thermodesulfobacteriota; Desulfuromonadia; Desulfuromonadales; Desulfuromonadaceae.